Molecule: transfer RNA, 55 nt
Filed under: Rhadinaea gaigeae
Lineage: Eukaryota; Metazoa; Chordata; Lepidosauria; Squamata; Dipsadidae
Description: partial tRNA-Leu
Source: RNAcentral
UACCAAAGGAUAAUAGUAUUCCACUGGUCUUAGGCACCAAAAUCCUUGGUGCAGA